Rostrohypoxylon terebratum is the source of this 95-nucleotide non-coding RNA. The record is from the annotation of a GenBank genome assembly. NCBI's taxonomy places the organism in Eukaryota, Fungi, Ascomycota, Sordariomycetes, Xylariales, Hypoxylaceae.
UCCGAAUUGGUGUAGUGGCUAACAUUUGACGCUCUCAUGGUUUCCAAAAUAAUCUGAAAACCGUCAAGCCCGGGGUUCGAUUCCCCGAUUCGGAG